Molecule: ribosomal RNA, 460 nt
Filed under: uncultured bacterium
Lineage: Bacteria
Description: partial 16S ribosomal RNA
Rfam family: Bacterial small subunit ribosomal RNA
Source: RNAcentral
CCUACGGGUGGCAGCAGUGAGGAAUAUUGGUCAAUGGACGAGAGUCUGAACCAGCCAAGUAGCGUGAAGGAUGACUGCCCCAUGGGUUGUAAACUUCUUUUAUAUGGGAAUAAAAUGUUCCACGUGUGGGUUUUUGUAUGUACCAUAUGAAUAAGCAUCGGCUAACUCCGUGCCAGCAGCCGCGGUAAUACGGAGGAUCCGAGCGUUAUCCGGAUUUAUUGGGUUUAAAGGGUGCGUAGGUGGAUUGUUAAGUCAGUUGUGAAAGUUUGCGGCUCAACCAUAAAAUUGCAGUUGAAACUGGCAGUCUUGAGUACAGUAUAGGUGGGCGGAAUCCGUGGUGUAGCGGUGAAAUGCUUAGAUAUCGCGAAGAACUCCGAUUGCGAAGGCAGCUCACUGGACUGGAACUGACACUGAGGCACGAAAGUGUGGGUAUCGAACAGGAUUAGAUACCCUGGUAGUC